This 75-nucleotide transfer RNA is filed under the name Actinomycetes bacterium. RNAcentral's name for it is "Actinobacteria bacterium tRNA-Lys". It matches the Rfam family "tRNA". From Rfam's summary of the family: Transfer RNA (tRNA) molecules are approximately 80 nucleotides in length. Their secondary structure includes four short double-helical elements and three loops (D, anti-codon, and T loops). The record is from RNAcentral. RNAcentral also lists the same sequence under 1 other name. Lineage: Bacteria; Bacillati; Actinomycetota; Actinomycetes.
GCGCCUCUAGCUCAAUGGCAGAGCAACGGACUCUUAAUCCGCAGGUUCUCGGUUCGAAUCCGAGGGGGCGCACCA